This 433-nucleotide ribosomal RNA is filed under the name uncultured bacterium. Its description in RNAcentral is "partial 16S ribosomal RNA". It matches the Rfam family "Bacterial small subunit ribosomal RNA", at positions 29 to 507 of the family's 1533-position model. The record is from RNAcentral.
AGCGAACGCUGGCGGCAGGCCUAACACAUGCAAGUCGAACGAACUCUUCGGAGUUAGUGGCGGACGGGUGAGUAACACGUGGGAACGUGCCUUUAGGUUCGGAAUAACUCAGGGAAACUUGUGCUAAUACCGAAUGUGCCCUUCGGGGGAAAGAUUUAUCGCCUUUAGAGCGGCCCGCGUCUGAUUAGCUAGUUGGUGAGGUAAAGGCUCACCAAGGCGACGAUCAGUAGCUGGUCUGAGAGGAUGAUCAGCCACAUUGGGACUGAGACACGGCCCAAACUCCUACGGGAGGCAGCAGCGGGGAAUCUUGCGCAAUGGGCGAAAGCCUGACGCAGCCAUGCCGCGUGAAUGAUGAAGGUCUUAGGAUUGUAAAAUUCUUUCACCGGGGACGAUAAUGACGGUACCCGGAGAAGAAGCCCCGGCUAACUUCGUG